GGGUUGUGAGGUUAAGCGACUAAGCGUACACGGUGGAUGCCCUGGCAGUCAGAGGCGAUGAAGGGCGUGCUAAUCUGCGAUAAGCGCCGGUAAGGUGAUAUGAACCGUUAUAACCGGCGAUACCCGAAUGGGGAAACCCAGUGUGACUCGUCACACUAUCAUUAACUGAAUCCAUAGGUUAAUGAGGCGAACCGGGGGAACUGAAACAUCUAAGUACCCC
Molecule: ribosomal RNA, 220 nt
Filed under: Salmonella enterica subsp. enterica serovar Heidelberg
Lineage: Bacteria; Pseudomonadati; Pseudomonadota; Gammaproteobacteria; Enterobacterales; Enterobacteriaceae
Also listed under: 5 other names
Description: partial 23S ribosomal RNA
Rfam family: Bacterial large subunit ribosomal RNA
Source: RNAcentral